Molecule: long non-coding RNA, 1107 nt
Filed under: Oncorhynchus mykiss (rainbow trout)
Lineage: Eukaryota; Metazoa; Chordata; Actinopteri; Salmoniformes; Salmonidae
Description: lncRNA (ENSOMYG00000059787.1)
Source: RNAcentral
AUGACGACAAGCGUGACAGAACUACCCACCACCAAAGGACCAAACAGCGUGACCAGGAGGAGCAGGGAUCCUGGGCCCGGGAGAAGAGUGAGUGGAGGACCUCAUGGACAUGGGAGGAGGUUAUGGCAGGGGACAAGACCCUGCCAUGGAAACAGGCGGAAACAGCAAGGGAGGAGCGGCGGCGAUACCAGGAGUCACGGCAACGAGGCAAGCACGAGAGGCAGCUCCCCAUUUUUUUUGGGGGGGAGGCACAAGGGGAGAGUGGCAGAGACAGGGUUUAGACCUGAGCCAACUCCUCGUGCUUACCAUGGGGAGCGAGUGACCGGUCAAGCACCAUGCUAUCCAGUUCUACGCACCAUGCCUUCAGUGCGCAUCCACAGCCCGGUGCGCUCUGUGCAAGCUCCCCGCAGUGGCCGUGCUAGAGUGGGCAUUCAGCCAGGAUGGAUUGUGCCGGCUCAGCGUUCCUGGCCUCCGGUGCGUCUCUUCGGCCCAGGUUAUCCUGCGCCAGCUCUACGCACGGUGACCCCGGUUCGCCAGCAAAGCCCAGUUUGGCCUGUUCCAGCUUCCCGCACUUGCCGGGCUAAGGGGGGUAUCCAGCCAGGACGCGUUAUGCCAGCUCGGCGCUCCAGACCUCCGGUGCGCCUCCACGGUCCAGUGUGUCCUGCGCUGGCUCUACGCACUAUGCCUCCAGUGCACCGUCAUAGCCCAGUGCGUCCUGUGCCAGCUCUCCACACUCACCGAGCUAAAGUGGCUAUCCAGCCAGGACACGUUGUGGCAGCUCCACAUACCAGGCUUCCAGUACGUCUCCUUAGUCCGGUGAGACCUGUUCCGGCUCCACGUACAAAGCCUCCGGCGACGAUCCGCGGCACGAAGCCUCCGGCGGCGAUCCGCGGCACAAAGCCUCCGGCGGCGGUCCCCUGUCCGCAGCCUCCGGCGACGGUCCCCUGUCCGCAGCCUCCGGCAACGGUCGGUGGUCUGGUUCCUACGGCGAUGAUCGGCGGCCCGGUUCCUCCAGUGAAGGUCCAUGCACCAGGGCCACCACCAAAGCGGAGGUAUCUGCGGGUGGAGGGGUGGUCUACAUCCCGCACCGGAGCCGCCGCCGUGUAG